This 465-nucleotide ribosomal RNA is filed under the name uncultured bacterium. RNAcentral describes it as "partial 16S ribosomal RNA". It matches the Rfam family "Bacterial small subunit ribosomal RNA", at positions 28 to 507 of the family's 1533-position model. The record is from RNAcentral.
GACGAACGCUGGCGGCGUGCUUAACACAUGCAAGUCGAACGGAAAGGCCCCUUUGGGGGUACUCGAGUGGCGAACGGGUGAGUAACACGUGAGUAACCUGCCCUUGACUUCGGGAUAACUUCAGGAAACUGGGGCUAAUACCGGAUUGGAAUCCUUGCUGCAUGGUGGGGGUUGGAAAGCUUCGGCGGUUUUGGAUGGACUCGCGGCUUAUCAGCUUGUUGGUGGGGUAGUGGCUUACCAAGGCUUUGACGGGUAGCCGGCCUGAGAGGGCGACCGGCCACAUUGGGACUGAGAUACGGCCCAGACUCCUACGGGAGGCAGCAGUGGGGAAUAUUGCACAAUGGGCGGAAGCCUGAUGCAGCAACGCCGCGUGCGGGAUGACGGCCUUCGGGUUGUAAACCGCUUUCAGCAGGGGCGAAGCUUGUGGUGACGGUACCUGCAGAAGAAGCACCGGCUAACUACGUG